Myotis lucifugus (little brown bat) is the source of this 74-nucleotide non-coding RNA. Lineage: Eukaryota; Metazoa; Chordata; Mammalia; Chiroptera; Vespertilionidae. The record is from Rfam.
CUUGGGAUGGGGGUGUUCUUCAGCCCAGAUUGCAAGAGGGUGCAGGCCAGGCUGAGGGACCCCACUGGUGCACA